RNAcentral lists this long non-coding RNA (1098 nucleotides) under Bos indicus x Bos taurus (hybrid cattle). Its description in RNAcentral is "lncRNA (ENSBIXG00000025833.1)". The record is from RNAcentral. Lineage: Eukaryota; Metazoa; Chordata; Mammalia; Artiodactyla; Bovidae.
AGAGCUCGAGGAGGUAGAAAAGGGUGGAUCGAAGCUCGGUAGAUGUUCUUCCCACUCCCCCAUGCCCCCUCCUUUUUUCUUCACAUCUUUUAACCUUCAAGGUUCACUACGUCAGGAUGAGUGUGUUCCACUUCUGCUGCUUGAGGUGUGCGCAGUGGGAGCAGAUGAAGAUGUGGGACUCAUGGCUCAGUAAAAACUCUUCACAACAAUCAUGAGAAGGGGAAAUCACGUCUCAUUAGAAUGUGUCUGUAAGUUUUUCUUCAUCUUAAAGAAAAGUGCAUUUAUCUCCGAAAGAAAGCAAUAUUUCUCCCUGAAGUGUACAUUUUCUAAGUUGAAUUAAAACCAGAAUGGGUGUGGUUGUGGAACUCUUUAUUCUCAAACCCAGAAACUUUAUAAUUCACUGCAAUACACCCAAAUAUGUCUCAUCCCUCUACCACGUCCAUAAUAAUUAUAAUUUUUAUCUCUGACUUUUUUUAAACUCUAAAGUGCUUUGUGAAUCCAGGUGAAUAUAUAAUAGACAGCACCUUCUGCGGGAGUGAAAAGAAGAAACCCUUGAUUUGUCUUUAAAGGUGCUGUCUUUAAGCAAUAUGAUGUUAAAAUGUUUUGUCUUAGCACAAGGUAUUCAUUUUGAAGAAUUUAUCUGGAGGACUCUAUGUAGUAAGCUGAAUGAAGAGCCUUUACUUAAUGUGAUAAAAGAAUAGUAUUUUUAGAAAAUCAUGUUUCUAGGAAAUCUACUUGGCCGUUGGAUUACUAGUCUAGAAAAUGAUGGUGAUAGAGUAAUAAUAAUUCUUGGUUCUGGCCAGGCACUUUACAAACAUUCCCUCAUUCAGUCAUAAUAAUAUCCUUGUGAGACCAGCAUCAUUAUUUUACUGAUGAAGAAAACGAGGAUAAGUCUAAUAGCUAGUAGUGGACUUGCCCCUGUGGCUGUGGAACCCUGAAGACUGCACUCUUAUCAUAUAAGGCAUUUCCAGUCUGAUAUCUACAGGACAGAGGCCUGGAGGUUGGAAAACCAUUUCUACCCUCUUAACAUUCCAUUUUUCCUUUACAAAAUCAAAGAGAGUCAAUGAAACAGUUCCAGAAUUUCGCAGUGUAGUCCAG